RNAcentral lists this ribosomal RNA (488 nucleotides) under Gyrodactylus leptorhynchi. RNAcentral's name for it is "bacterial SSU rRNA". It matches the Rfam family "Eukaryotic small subunit ribosomal RNA", at positions 1178 to 1636 of the family's 1831-position model. Lineage: Eukaryota; Metazoa; Platyhelminthes; Monogenea; Gyrodactylidea; Gyrodactylidae. The record is from RNAcentral.
GGAGCUUGCGGCUUAAUUUGACUCAACACGGGAAAACUCACCCGGACCGGACACUAUGAGGAUAGACAGAUUGAUAGCUCUUUCUUGAUUUGGUGGUUAGUGGUGCAUGGCCGUUCUUAGUUCGUGGUAUGAAUUGUCUGGUUAAUUCCGAUAACGAACGAGAUUCUAAUCUGCUAAAUAGGCCACGUGUAAUUUUGUGUGGCGUCUUCGUUGAUUGGCUUCGGCUGGUCUCGAAGUGCUAUACGAGCAUGUGGAACUUCUUAGAGAGAUUGGUGAAUAUCCAAGUCACAAGAGAGAGAGCAAUAACAGGUCUGUGAUGCCCUUAGAUGUUCGGGGCCGCACGCGUGCUACACUGACAGUGGUAGAGAGUUUGGUAUUCCUCAGGCGAAAGCUGGGGGCAAACUUUUCAAUUACUGUCGUGCCUGGGAUCGGGGUUUGUAACUAUCCCCCGUGAACCAGGAAUUCCUAGUAAGCUCAAUUCAUCAGAU